This 611-nucleotide unclassified non-coding RNA is filed under the name Hevea brasiliensis (rubber tree). The record is from RNAcentral. Lineage: Eukaryota; Viridiplantae; Streptophyta; Magnoliopsida; Malpighiales; Euphorbiaceae.
UAAGCCCAUCAAUGCCUAGAGCUUUAGAGGGGUGAAUGGAAAAGACCGUCUUAUGAAUUUCCUCUCUCAAUAUCGGCCUGACCAAUGCAUCAUUCAUAUUCAAUGUUGUGCGGGGAAGAAGGCUUUCUAUAACUUUACGAAAGUUAACAAGCUAAGAGGAAGUAUAUAUAGAUUGGAAAUAGUCCAUAGUAAUAUCUUGGGUGUAUUCCAAUUUGUGCUUCCAUUUCCCUCCUUGUCUUGCAACCAAGAAAUAAAGUUUCUCCUUCUUCUUUGAAUCACCUUAGCAUGAAAAAGGUAGUGUUCCUAUCUCCUACUUUAAGCCAUUCUUGCCAAGCCUUUUGAGCCUAAUGGAACUCGGCCUUUGUUAACUCUUGAGUUAAAUCAUUUUCCAGGCUUCGAAUAAGCUCACCAUCCCAAUCAACCAUAUUUUGCUUCAUCAUGUGCAGUUGAUGUUGGAGCUUUUGAAUUCGGCAUUGAGAUUGAAAUUACGUUUUCGACUCCAUUCCAAAAGAGCAUUCCUGCAGUUGUCAAACUUUGAAUGAAUGCUAUGAAUAUCCACCCCAACAUUGUUAUUUCUCCGUGCAUCAUCAAUAACAGUCCCUGCCUUUGAG